This 164-nucleotide ribosomal RNA is filed under the name Quercus pubescens. RNAcentral's name for it is "5.8S ribosomal RNA". It matches the Rfam family "5.8S ribosomal RNA". Rfam says of the family: 5.8S ribosomal RNA (5.8S rRNA) is a component of the large subunit of the eukaryotic ribosome. It is transcribed by RNA polymerase I as part of the 45S precursor that also contains 18S and 28S rRNA. Lineage: Eukaryota; Viridiplantae; Streptophyta; Magnoliopsida; Fagales; Fagaceae. The record is from RNAcentral.
AAAACAACUCUCAGCAACAGAUAUCUAGGCUCUUGCAUCGAUGAAGAACGUAGUGGAAUGCGAUACUUGGUGUGAAUUGCAGAAUCCUGCGAAUCAUUGAGUUUUUGAAUGCAAGUUGCGCCUGAAGCCAUUCGAUCGAGGGCACGUCUGCUUGGGUGUCACAC